AAUCUUCCGCAAUGGACGAAAGUCUGACGGAGCAACGCCGCGUGAUUGAUGAUGGUUUUCGGAUCGUAAAACUCUGCUGUUAGGGAAGAACAAGUAUCGGAGUCACUGCCGGUAUCUUGACGGUAGCUGACGACAAUGCCACGGCUAACUAUGUGCCAGAAGCCGCGGUAAUACGUAGGUGGCAAGCGUUGUCCGGAUUUAUUGGGCGUAAAGCGGGCGCAGGCGGUCCUUUAAGUCUGAUGUUAAAUCUUACAGCUUAAAUGUAAGCGGUCAUUGGAAACUGGGAGACUUGAGUGCAGAAGAGGAGAGUGGAAUUCCAUGUGUAGCGGUGAAAUGCGUAGAGAUAUGGAGGAACACCAGUGGCGAAGGCGACUCUCUGGUCUGUAACUGACGCUGAGGCGCGAAAGCGUGGGGAUCAAACA
This 422-nucleotide ribosomal RNA is filed under the name uncultured bacterium. Its description in RNAcentral is "partial 16S ribosomal RNA". It matches the Rfam family "Bacterial small subunit ribosomal RNA", at positions 360 to 774 of the family's 1533-position model. The record is from RNAcentral.